AUCCUCAAUGUCUUUGGUUAACUCUUAAUAGAUUCGUACAUUCCAUUUCAUUUCAUGUACUUUAAUUCUUCAUCUCCAUUAUUCAUCUUCUUCAUCUCUUUCUUCUUUUCUUUUUUGAUCAAUGAGUUAAAGGUUGAUAAGUUAGCAUUGAUUAUGGAGGUUUAAUCUUCCUUGAUUCAAAUCUAAUUCAUCUUGAUCAAUUGAUCAAGUGAAUGGCUUUGCAUUAAGGAUAGAUUGCUUCCUAAAUCAUGCAAAGGACUUAAACCAAUACAAGAUC
This 277-nucleotide long non-coding RNA is filed under the name Lathyrus oleraceus (garden pea). RNAcentral describes it as "Pisum sativum (pea) long non-coding RNA (PSAT_LNC005092)". Lineage: Eukaryota; Viridiplantae; Streptophyta; Magnoliopsida; Fabales; Fabaceae. The record is from RNAcentral.